GACGAACGCUGGCGGCGUGCCUAAUACAUGCAAGUAGAACGCUGAAGGAGGAGCUUGCUCUUCUGGAUGAGUUGCGAACGGGUGAGUAACGCGUAGGUAACCUGCCUGGUAGCGGGGGAUAACUAUUGGAAACGAUAGCUAAUACCGCAUAAGAGUAGAUGUUGCAUGACAUUUACUUAAAAGGUGCAAUUGCAUCACUACCAGAUGGACCUGCGUUGUAUUAGCUAGUUGGUGGGGUAACGGCUUACCAAGGCGACGAUACAUAGCCGACCUGAGAGGGGGAUCGGCCACACUGGGACUGGGACACGGCCCAGACUCCUACGGGAGGCAGCAGUAGGGAAUCUUCGGCAAUGGACGGAAGUCUGACCGAGCAACGCCGCGUGAGUGAAGAAGGUUUUCGGAUCGUAAAGCUCUGUUGUAAGAGAAGAACGAGUGUGAGAGUGGAAAGUUCACACUGUGACGGUAUCUUACCAGAAAGGGACGGCUAACUACGUG
This 495-nucleotide ribosomal RNA is filed under the name uncultured bacterium. RNAcentral describes it as "partial 16S ribosomal RNA". It matches the Rfam family "Bacterial small subunit ribosomal RNA", at positions 28 to 507 of the family's 1533-position model. The record is from RNAcentral.